GAUGAAGAACGCAGCGAAAUGCGAUACUUGGUGUGAAUUGCAGAAUCCCGUGAACCAUCGAGUCUUUGAACGCAAGUUGCGCCCGAAGCCAUCAGGUUGAGGGCACGUCUGCCUGGGCGUCACAUAUCGUUGCCCAAUGCCUAUUGCAGUGCAAUAGGAAUUUCUAGGGCGAAUGAUGGCUUCCCGUGAGCGUUGUUGCCUCGCGGUUGGUUGAAAAUCGAGUCCUUGGUAGGGUGUGCCAUGGUAGACGGUGGUCGAGUUAGAACGAUACCGAUCAUGUGCAUGCUCCCCAAAAUAUGGCCUCUAUGACCCAUACGCGUCUUUUGACGCUCAUGACGAGACCUCAGGUCAGGCGGGGCUACCCGCUGAAUUUAAGCAUAUCAAUAAGCGGAGGA
This 395-nucleotide unclassified non-coding RNA is filed under the name soil metagenome. RNAcentral's name for it is "partial contains 5.8S ribosomal RNA, internal transcribed spacer 2, and large subunit ribosomal RNA". The stretch from base 1 to 122 matches the Rfam family "5.8S ribosomal RNA", at positions 35 to 154 of the family's 154-position model. The record is from RNAcentral.